AUUGAACGCUGGCGGCAGGCCUAACACAUGCAAGUCGAACGGUAACAGGAAGCAGCUUGCUGCUUCGCUGACGAGUGGCGGACGGGUGUGACAUGUCUGUGAAGCUGCCUGAUGGAGGGGGAUAACUACUGGAAACGGUAGCUAAUACCGCAUAAUGUCGCAAGACCAAAGAGGGGGACCUUCGGGCCUCUUGCCAUCGGAUGUGCCCAGAUGGGAUUAGCUUGUUGGUGGGGUAACGGCUCACCAAGGCGACGAUCCCUAGCUGGUCUGAGAGGGUGACCAGCCACACUGGAACUGAGACACGGUCCAGACUCCUACGGGAGGCAGCAGUGGGGAAUAUUGCACAAUGGGCGCAAGCCUGAUGCAGCCAUGCCGCGUGUGUGAAGAAGGCCUUCGGGUUGUAAAGCUCUUUUAGCGGGGAAGAAGAGAGGAAAGUUAAUACAUUCACGUAUUGACGGUACCCAAAGAAGAAGCACCGGCUAACUCCGUG
RNAcentral lists this ribosomal RNA (490 nucleotides) under uncultured bacterium. RNAcentral describes it as "partial 16S ribosomal RNA". It matches the Rfam family "Bacterial small subunit ribosomal RNA", at positions 30 to 507 of the family's 1533-position model. The record is from RNAcentral.